Molecule: ribosomal RNA, 403 nt
Filed under: bacterium
Lineage: Bacteria
Description: partial 16S ribosomal RNA
Rfam family: Bacterial small subunit ribosomal RNA
Source: RNAcentral
UGGGGAAUAUUGCACAAUGGGGGAAACCCUGAUGCAGCUACGCCGCGUGAACUAAGAAGGUAUUCGUAUCGUUAAGUUCUGUCCUAUGGGAAGAUAAUGACAGUACCAUAGAAGAAAGCUCCGGCUAAAUACGUGCCAGCAGCCGCGGUAAUACGUAUGGAGCGAGCGUUGUCCGGAAUUAUUGGGCGUAAAGGGUACGCAGGCGGUUUAAUAAGUCGAAUGUUAAAGAUCGGGGCUCAACCCCGCAAAGCAUUGGAAACUGAUAAACUUGAGUAGUGGAGAGGAAAGUGGAAUUCCUAGUGUAGUGGUGAAAUACGUAGAUAUUAGGAGGAAUACCAGUAGCGAAGGCGACUUUCUGGACACAAACUGACGCUGAGGUACGAAAGCGUGGGGAGCAAACAGG